Molecule: ribosomal RNA, 374 nt
Filed under: uncultured organism
Description: partial 16S ribosomal RNA
Rfam family: Bacterial small subunit ribosomal RNA
Source: RNAcentral
GUAGGUGGCAAGCGUUGUCCGGAAUUAUUGGGCGUAAAGCGCGCGCAGGCGGUUCUUUAAGUCUGAUGUGAAAGCCCACGGCUCAACCGUGGAGGGUCAUUGGAAACUGGAGAACUUGAGUACAGAAGAGGAAAGCGGAAUUCCACGUGUAGCGGCGAAAUGCGUAGAGAUGUGGAGGAACACCAGUGGCGAAGGCGGCUUUUCUGGUCUGUAACUGACGCUGAGGCGCGAAAGCGUGGGGAGCAAACAGGGAUUAGAUACCCUGGUAGUCCACGCCGUAAACGAUGAGUGCUAAGUGUUAGGGGGUUUCCGCCCCCUUAGUGCUGCAGCUAACGCAUUAAGCACUCCGCCUGGGGAGUACGGCCGCAAGGCUG